GGGGGCGAAUGGUCUCGACGGGGGUUAUGAGACUCAUGUGGCAUGUCGUGGCUCCAUCCCCACGUAAAAAGAUGGAACAAACACAAACGCCAAUAACGAACUGGCACUCGCUGCUUAAUUAAGCAGCACGCUCCUUUGGGCUUGUCUGCGACCCUUAGAUAGCGUCAAUCAGCGGGCUGGCUUUCAGGUGCGCUCCCUGCCUGAAGGCGAGACUAAGGGAGAUAGGGGUUCAGGAAGCCUGUCAGUCGGCGAACUGGGCUCCGAAGCUGAAAAAGGCUGACUACACAUGUAGAAGCAUGAGAGUAGUACUUUCGGACGCGGGUUCGAUUCCCGCCGCCUCCACCA
This 345-nucleotide transfer-messenger RNA is filed under the name Nitrospirota bacterium. RNAcentral describes it as "Nitrospirae bacterium (groundwater metagenome) transfer-messenger RNA". It matches the Rfam family "transfer-messenger RNA". Rfam says of the family: Bacterial tmRNA, also known as 10Sa RNA or SsrA, is named for its dual tRNA and mRNA-like properties. RNAcentral also lists the same sequence under 1 other name. Lineage: Bacteria; Pseudomonadati; Nitrospirota. The record is from RNAcentral.